GCGAGUUUUGUUGUGUCGUAUAAGUAGAGGAUGUUUACUGUUGCUUUACUUACUGGAGUUCAGGGGGGUUGGAAAAAGUGUGUAUCGUUCCAAACAACGCAGCGGACACUACUCCGAUCAGUUCGUGGACUGUUUUUUCUAUCAGCGCAAUGCAUGAUGCUACAGACGGAGCUAAGGAUUUUCAAUGACCAUUCACCUUCCUAACAAACACAGGCGAUUGGCUGCGGGAGUCUGUUACCGGCGCUGUGUGAAACACCCAGGCCAAGGACACUUCCUGACUCUGAAGUUUGCAAUCAACAGUGUAGCACAAAAUUAAAACAUCGCCGUGUAGCUAAACGUAUGCAGAAUCUACUUGGAAACGUCAGAAAAUCCCUCUACUCGACACAGUUUUACAGAGGAGAAACUUACCUCAUAAAAUGCCUGCACCAUUUCCACCAAUACCCAUUGCUGUCCGGACGCCAUGUUUAUUUUCCUAUUCUUCACUGUUGUUUUACGGGGGUUGGCAUCCAACUAAAAUAGUGCAUUACCGCCACCUACUGUACUGGAGUGUGGGCCGGAGUUAAAAAACAAAACAAUAACAAAAACAAAACUAAAUCAUAUCCUUUCUGCCAAUUCCAUGACCAAGAAGCUUAAUAAAAAUGUACUAAUGACAUUUUUAAAAGUUCCCAGUAAGUUCAAGCGAAUUUCCUCGAUCCCCUAACCUUCUUAUGGCCUCUAAUUUCAUCCUGUCCCUUUCAUAUUUCUGACACUCAAAAACCCAUAAUUACAUUUAUUUCAAUUUGAAAUUCAGGGGAGAAAAAGUAUAAACACCCCUAAAAGGAAAAUACUCAAUUGUAAGUACCUCAACAUUUGACUUAAGUAAAAUAGGGAGAGGUGAUUUGAGCCUGUGGGGAAGUUGAGCCAACCCUCGUUUUCUGGUGGCCAUAGACAAAAUUGAUCAUGUGACCACAUAUUUGUGAAGAGUCAUCCAUUUUACUCACUUUGUGAUGGAGAGAGGCCCAUGGAAUAAGCACAUUUAGAAUAAAAAAAGUGAUUUUUCUAUGUU
Long non-coding RNA from Micropterus dolomieu (smallmouth bass), 1045 nucleotides. RefSeq lists it as uncharacterized. NCBI's taxonomy places the organism in Eukaryota, Metazoa, Chordata, Actinopteri, Centrarchiformes, Centrarchidae. The transcript is spliced from 2 exons. The record is from RefSeq and is a predicted model, not a curated record.